Molecule: long non-coding RNA, 662 nt
Organism: Saccostrea cuccullata (small rock oyster)
Lineage: Eukaryota; Metazoa; Mollusca; Bivalvia; Ostreida; Ostreidae
Exons: 3
Source: RefSeq, a predicted model, not a curated record
GGAAACUAACCCAGCAGGCGGAAACGUUUCUGAGAUAUUAGAGACAUCAGGCUGCUCCACAAUUUCCUCGGAAAAGUCGGACAACUUCAGACAAGAAAAUGAACAUAAGCACCGGGAGUCAAGUGACUCUAAGGUCAGACAGCCUGGGGAAGAAGAUUCGGUAUGUUCUACAUUUGUCCCCAGCACCUCUCUUCCAGCAGUUACACUGGAGAUUUCCAGAACUUCUACUGAAACAAACCCGGAGAACAGAAUUAAUCACGCACGAAAGUCUUUUCUGUUUGGGCAUUGAAAUUUUGCAAGCAAUUAGACAAAGAUAAGUACUAGGGUAAAAGUAGUAUACUUGUUUCUUAUGGAAUUUUGAUGAACAAAUUAAAAUAGAGAAACUGUCAAAUGAAAUGCCCCUCUCAGUAAAGCAUCUGCAGUGCUAAAACAGACAAGUAUCAAGUUUUGUAAUUUUUCUUCCUACAUAAACUAUGUUUAACGUUCUUGCAUUGGAUAAUAUUGUGAUGUAUGUCAAAUAUCCUGUGAUAUAUGUUUUAUAGUCUUGUGAUGUUUGUUUGAUAAUGUAUGUUUGAUAAUCUUGUGAUGUAUGUUUGAUGAUUGUGUGAUGUAUUUUCAAUAUCUUAUGAUGUAUCUUUAAUAUAUUGUUCUUAGAAGAAUUG